This 1321-nucleotide long non-coding RNA is filed under the name Manihot esculenta (cassava). Its description in RNAcentral is "long non-coding RNA (MESC_LNC010168)". Lineage: Eukaryota; Viridiplantae; Streptophyta; Magnoliopsida; Malpighiales; Euphorbiaceae. The record is from RNAcentral.
CCUUCUACUUUUUAAGUACCCUCUUCUUCUUGAUAAAUCACUUCUUCAAUGUGAAUUUGAUUAUCUCAUAUAAAAGAAAAUAUCUGAAAAAUUCAAAUUAAAACAAACUAGUAAAAGAUAAUAAAGAGAAAAUUAAAAGAAAAAUAUUCAAAUCAACAAAACUAAUUCUCCAAUAACGGUGCCAAAACUUGUUGUCAUUCUACAAAUAUAUAGAUCGCACAAGUAAUAUAAUAAUCGAGUAGAGUAUCGUUCCCACAGAGAAUUAAUGUUUAAGUACUAGGCUAUGGUUGUAACAAUUAUUUGGACUAAUAAAAUUUAAUACUAAAAUUAGCUAAUUAAGCUAAAAUGUGCAGCAAAUUAAUUAAAAUUAACUAAGAGAUGACAAUUAAGCUAAUUAAUUCUAUACUAGUAAGAGAAAUUAACUACAAAUUAAAAGCAAUUAAACUAAGCAAUGGUAAAUUAACUAGAGAUUAACUAAAAUUAGAAAUUAACAAAGAUUAAAAAUCAAAUAUAAAAAGAUGAUUUGAGAGAUUUGAGAUUCACACUCUAAUUAAUUUGGAUUUUUCUCAAUUUCUAUCAAUUCAUAGGUAUCUAUUGCUUGAAGGAAUUAAUUCCAAAAGUACCUUAAUUCUCUUUCAAUAUAUCAAGGUUGUGCUUUAAUUAAACCAAUUCCUACUUUCAUGGUUCUUGAUUUAAUAAAAAGCCAUUAGGUCCUUUCAAUAAUUUUGAAAUUCUCUCAUACCCUUAAUCAAUUUCUUGAAUCUAAGAAUAUAAGUUUUAAUCCUAAUUUUUCCAUCAUUAAUCUUCAUCUUUCAAUACAUCAAUUAAUGAUUAAAAUAAUACUUUGGUUGACCAAACACAAAGUAAGAGAUUAAAUCACAAGGAAAAGAAUAAAGAUCAAAUACCCAACUCAAAAUUAAAAAUUAGCACAAACCCAUUGAUAGAAAUUAGUUCAAAUCCAAGAUUAAAAUAGAGUAUUACAUACUCAAUCUCUGAAAUUUAAAAUCUACUCCCUAUUCAUAGUAUUUACAAAGAAAAUCUUAAAAUUAAAACAAAGAAAACAUAAAAUUAAUAAAGGAGAAGAAAAACCCAAAUGAAGAACGCUUCAAAUAUUGAUAAUCCAUGCCUAAAGAGCCUCCAUUGGUGAAUUUUCAGCAGCCCCUUUUGUUCUCCACGUGAAAUGAGGAAGAAAAAGGUGAAAAAUGGUGGAAAAUGAGAGAGAGGUGGCUCCUCUUCCCUUUAUUUUUUGGUAUUCUCCCUCCUUAAAACUAAAGAAAAAGACUAUUUAUAUGUCCUAAAAAAAUGCACUAACAGAAUAAAG